RNAcentral lists this long non-coding RNA (638 nucleotides) under Scleropages formosus (Asian bonytongue). RNAcentral describes it as "lncRNA (ENSSFOG00015033123.1)". The record is from RNAcentral. Lineage: Eukaryota; Metazoa; Chordata; Actinopteri; Osteoglossiformes; Osteoglossidae.
UCCGACCGCUGCUGCUGGAUGAGCGGAUCAGCGCUGGGCCGGACUUCAGACGGCUUCGAGUGCAAAUUGCCAUGGACCUCCUGAAGGCCGCGAGGUACAGAUUUGAACAAAGUCUUUCUUACAAGCAAUUGCACUGGAGGGGAUCAGAGAAGUUCCAAGUUCCUCCAGGUGGUGAAUGUUCCCAUGAUCCUCUCCUGCUUCUCUCGAGACUCCUUUGCUGUCCACCCUAUUCAUCUCCUUGUUCGCCCGCCGGAGGUGAGACCGGACCAGUUCUGCAACCGUCCAGCUUUUAGUUCCUUUUUAUUACAGAUCAUCCAGCACACACUCCGGCCCGUGAUGCAGUGUGAUGGUCUGAUGACUUUCAUCGCUGAGACAAGUCACAACACGGCCCCACGAAGCGAAGCCAGUGGGAUGGACUUCAGCAGCAGGAUAUAGAGCAGCUUCACGCCGCCACCGCCCCGUCGCCUGCAGCCCGUGUUCUCGGAAUCCCGAGGGCGUAUCGCUUACCGACCUCUUUAAGAGCCAAAGUGGUCGUGAGCGCGAGGGCCGAGCGCGGCGAAUCACGGCUGAGCCGCCGCCGCCGCGACCACAUGGCCUACGAGGUGCCAUUAGCGAAGACACGUCUGAGCCCGGCCAGC